UACGUAUGGUGCAAGCGUUAUCCGGAUUUACUGGGCGUAAAGGGAGCGCAGGCGGUGCGCCAAGUCUGAUGUGAAACCCCGGGGCUCAACCCCGGGCACGCAUUGGAAACUGGCGGGCUGGAGUGCCGGAGAGGUAAGCGGAAUUCCCAGUGUAGCGGUGAAAUGCGUAGAUAUUAGGAGGAACACCAGUGGCGAAGGCGGCCUGCUGGACGGUGACUGACGCUGAGGCUCGAAAGCGUGGGGAGCAAACAGG
RNAcentral lists this ribosomal RNA (253 nucleotides) under uncultured bacterium. RNAcentral describes it as "partial 16S ribosomal RNA". It matches the Rfam family "Bacterial small subunit ribosomal RNA", at positions 524 to 776 of the family's 1533-position model. The record is from RNAcentral.